Molecule: ribosomal RNA, 2929 nt
Filed under: Bacillus cereus
Lineage: Bacteria; Bacillati; Bacillota; Bacilli; Caryophanales; Bacillaceae
Description: bacterial LSU rRNA
Rfam family: Bacterial large subunit ribosomal RNA
Source: RNAcentral
UUUGGUUAAGUUAGAAAGGGCGCACGGUGGAUGCCUUGACACUAGGAGUCGAUGAAGGACGGGACUAACGCCGAUAUGCUUCGGGGAGCUGUAAGUAAGCUUUGAUCCGAAGAUUUCCGAAUGGGGAAACCCACCAUACGUAAUGGUAUGGUAUCCUUAUCUGAAUACAUAGGGUAAGGAAGACAGACCCAGGGAACUGAAACAUCUAAGUACCUGGAGGAAGAGAAAGCAAAUGCGAUUUCCUGAGUAGCGGCGAGCGAAACGGAACAUAGCCCAAACCAAGAGGCUUGCCUCUUGGGGUUGUAGGACAUUCUAUACGGAGUUACAAAGGAACGAGGUAGACGAAGCGAUCUGGAAAGGUCCGUCGUAGAGGGUAACAACCCCGUAGUCGAAACUUCGUUCUCUCUUGAAUGUAUCCUGAGUACGGCGGAACACGUGAAAUUCCGUCGGAAUCUGGGAGGACCAUCUCCCAAGGCUAAAUACUCCCUAGUGAUCGAUAGUGAACCAGUACCGUGAGGGAAAGGUGAAAAGCACCCCGGAAGGGGAGUGAAAGAGAUCCUGAAACCGUGUGCCUACAAAUAGUCAGAGCCCGUUAACGGGUGAUGGCGUGCCUUUUGUAGAAUGAACCGGCGAGUUACGAUCCCGUGCGAGGUUAAGCUGAAGAGGCGGAGCCGCAGCGAAAGCGAGUCUGAAUAGGGCGUUUAGUACGUGGUCGUAGACCCGAAACCAGGUGAUCUACCCAUGUCCAGGGUGAAGUUCAGGUAACACUGAAUGGAGGCCCGAACCCACGCACGUUGAAAAGUGCGGGGAUGAGGUGUGGGUAGCGGAGAAAUUCCAAUCGAACCUGGAGAUAGCUGGUUCUCCCCGAAAUAGCUUUAGGGCUAGCCUUAAGUGUAAGAGUCUUGGAGGUAGAGCACUGAUUGGACUAGGGGUCCUCAUCGGAUUACCGAAUUCAGUCAAACUCCGAAUGCCAAUGACUUAUCCUUAGGAGUCAGACUGCGAGUGAUAAGAUCCGUAGUCAAAAGGGAAACAGCCCAGACCGCCAGCUAAGGUCCCAAAGUGUGUAUUAAGUGGAAAAGGAUGUGGAGUUGCUUAGACAACUAGGAUGUUGGCUUAGAAGCAGCCACCAUUUAAAGAGUGCGUAAUAGCUCACUAGUCGAGUGACUCUGCGCCGAAAAUGUACCGGGGCUAAAUACACCACCGAAGCUGCGGAUUGAUACCAAUGGUAUCAGUGGUAGGGGAGCGUUCUAAGGACAGUGAAGUCAGACCGGAAGGACUGGUGGAGUGCUUAGAAGUGAGAAUGCCGGUAUGAGUAGCGAAAGACGGGUGAGAAUCCCGUCCACCGAAUGCCUAAGGUUUCCUGAGGAAGGCUCGUCCGCUCAGGGUUAGUCAGGACCUAAGCCGAGGCCGACAGGCGUAGGCGAUGGACAACAGGUUGAUAUUCCUGUACCACCUCUUUAUCGUUUGAGCAAUGGAGGGACGCAGAAGGAUAGAAGAAGCGUGCGAUUGGUUGUGCACGUCCAAGCAGUUAGGCUGAUAAGUAGGCAAAUCCGCUUAUCGUAAAGGCUGAGCUGUGAUGGGGAAGCUCCUUAUGGAGCGAAGUCUUUGAUUCCCCGCUGCCAAGAAAAGCUUCUAGCGAGAUAAAAGGUGCCUGUACCGCAAACCGACACAGGUAGGCGAGGAGAGAAUCCUAAGGUGUGCGAGAGAACUCUGGUUAAGGAACUCGGCAAAAUGACCCCGUAACUUCGGGAGAAGGGGUGCUUUCUUAACGGAAAGCCGCAGUGAAUAGGCCCAAGCGACUGUUUAGCAAAAACACAGCUCUCUGCGAAGCCGUAAGGCGAAGUAUAGGGGGUGACACCUGCCCGGUGCUGGAAGGUUAAGGAGAGGGGUUAGCGUAAGCGAAGCUCUGAACUGAAGCCCCAGUAAACGGCGGCCGUAACUAUAACGGUCCUAAGGUAGCGAAAUUCCUUGUCGGGUAAGUUCCGACCCGCACGAAAGGUGUAACGAUUUGGGCACUGUCUCAACCAGAGACUCGGUGAAAUUAUAGUACCUGUGAAGAUGCAGGUUACCCGCGACAGGACGGAAAGACCCCGUGGAGCUUUACUGUAGCCUGAUAUUGAAUUUUGGUACAGUUUGUACAGGAUAGGCGGGAGCCUUUGAAACCGGAGCGCUAGCUUCGGUGGAGGCGCUGGUGGGAUACCGCCCUGACUGUAUUGAAAUUCUAACCUACGGGUCUUAUCGACCCGGGAGACAGUGUCAGGUGGGCAGUUUGACUGGGGCGGUCGCCUCCUAAAGUGUAACGGAGGCGCCCAAAGGUUCCCUCAGAAUGGUUGGAAAUCAUUCGUAGAGUGCAAAGGCAUAAGGGAGCUUGACUGCGAGACCUACAAGUCGAGCAGGGACGAAAGUCGGGCUUAGUGAUCCGGUGGUUCCGCAUGGAAGGGCCAUCGCUCAACGGAUAAAAGCUACCCCGGGGAUAACAGGCUUAUCUCCCCCAAGAGUCCACAUCGACGGGGAGGUUUGGCACCUCGAUGUCGGCUCAUCGCAUCCUGGGGCUGUAGUCGGUCCCAAGGGUUGGGCUGUUCGCCCAUUAAAGCGGUACGCGAGCUGGGUUCAGAACGUCGUGAGACAGUUCGGUCCCUAUCCGUCGUGGGCGUAGGAAAUUUGAGAGGAGCUGUCCUUAGUACGAGAGGACCGGGAUGGACGCACCGCUGGUGUACCAGUUGUUCUGCCAAGGGCAUAGCUGGGUAGCUAUGUGCGGAAGGGAUAAGUGCUGAAAGCAUCUAAGCAUGAAGCCCCCCUCAAGAUGAGAUUUCCCAUAGCGUAAGCUAGUAAGAUCCCUGAAAGAUGAUCAGGUUGAUAGGUUCGAGGUGGAAGCAUGGUGACAUGUGGAGCUGACGAAUACUAAUAGAUCGAGGACUUAACCAUAUAA